AGGGUCUCAUCGGACAUGCCUUCUAUGCGAAGGAGGUCACAGACUCGAUAAAACUCUCUUAGGUGUGUGUAUGGGUUUUCCUCACCUUCUCCUGAGAAAGGUUGUUUUUGAAUAAAUUGUAUGUAUUCGGGGUCUAUCUCAAAACUAGAUGCUAUGAUAGGCUUUGAAGAUUUUGGUGGUUCGAGAUGUGUGCCCAUAGGUCUAUGAAAUUCAUAGAUAGACAUGUUUGAAUUCAUAAUAGACCAGAGAUCAAGGAUUAGAUAAGAAGAAAGAAUAGCAGAGAUGAGGCAAAGGAUAAAAGGAAAAUAUUUUUUUAUUUAUUUAUUUUUUAUAAAAUGAUUAAACUAGUUCGUAGUCAACUCAGCAACCGUUUCCCCGGCAACGGCGCCAAAAAUGCUUGUUGACACUUGCUAACACCACUUGAAUACUAGGUUGUCAUCCCCAGCAUGGCACUAGAGUGUACUAUGGUAUUUAUACGCACACAGAUAAUCCGCAAGCGCACGGAUACCGUUGAAGCUUUUACCCGGUUAAAGGUUUUAUCGUAUCCACAGGGAAACGGGAGAACCAACUACGCUCUAACUUAACCAAGAUAGAUAGAUAGGUGUAAAUAGGAAAGAUGAUAGAAUCGAAUAAGAACAAUAUUAAAGGUAAGAUAACAGUGAGUGAUAAUAUGGGAAUAGAGAGUAGAGCAAUUCUAGUAUAUGGGCGAUGUAGCAGAAUAGAGAGGAUAACUAUGGUUUCUCUACUUCAAAGGGGUAUGUCUAUGUCUGGGACGAACCACGUGAUAAGAGUACACCACAAAGGAUGCUUAUCCAUAGGCCGAUAAACCCUACCCGUCCUGCUAACGAGAGGUGGACUACAGGGGACCAACGUAACUGUCACCUACGCGGCCUACCACA
RNAcentral lists this long non-coding RNA (899 nucleotides) under Sorghum bicolor (sorghum). Its description in RNAcentral is "long non-coding RNA (SBIC_LNC001041)". The record is from RNAcentral. Lineage: Eukaryota; Viridiplantae; Streptophyta; Magnoliopsida; Poales; Poaceae.